GAUGAAGAACGUAGUGAAAUGCGAUAAGUAAUGCGAAUUGCAGAAUUUCCGUGAAUCAUCGAAUCUUUGAACGCACAUUGCGCCCGCCAGUAUUCUGGCGGGCAUGCCUGUUCGAGCGUCAUUUCAACCAUCAAGCCCCCGGCUUGUGUUGGGGACCUGCGGCUGCCGCAGGCCCUGAAAAGCAGUGGCGGGCUCGCUGUCACACCGAGCGUAGUAGCAUACAUCUCGCUCUGGGCGUGCUGCGGGUUCCGGCCGUUAAACCACCUUCAUAACCCAAGGUUGACCUCGGAUCAGGUAGGAAGACCCGCUGAACUUAAGCAUAUCAAUAAGCGGAGGA
This 337-nucleotide unclassified non-coding RNA is filed under the name soil metagenome. RNAcentral describes it as "partial contains 5.8S ribosomal RNA, internal transcribed spacer 2, and large subunit ribosomal RNA". The stretch from base 1 to 121 matches the Rfam family "5.8S ribosomal RNA", at positions 35 to 154 of the family's 154-position model. The record is from RNAcentral.